This 303-nucleotide ribosomal RNA is filed under the name Salmonella enterica. RNAcentral describes it as "partial 23S ribosomal RNA". It matches the Rfam family "Bacterial large subunit ribosomal RNA", at positions 2646 to 2925 of the family's 2925-position model. Lineage: Bacteria; Pseudomonadati; Pseudomonadota; Gammaproteobacteria; Enterobacterales; Enterobacteriaceae. The record is from RNAcentral.
CGUGGGCGCUGGAAGACUGAGGGGGGCUGCUCCUAGUACGAGAGGACCGGAGUGGACGCAUCACUGGUGUUCGGGUUGUCAUGCCAAUGGCACUGCCCGGUAGCUAAAUGCGGAAAAGAUAAGUGCUGAAAGCAUCUAAGCACGAAACUUGCCCCGAGAUGAGUCUUCCCUGAGACUUUGAGUCUCCUGAAGGAACGUUAAAGACGAUGACGUUGAUAGGCCGGGUGUGUAAGCGCAGCGAUGCGUUGAGCUAACCGGUACUAAUGAACCGUGAGGCUUAACCUUACAACGCCGAAGGUGUUU